This 541-nucleotide ribosomal RNA is filed under the name uncultured bacterium. Its description in RNAcentral is "partial 16S ribosomal RNA". It matches the Rfam family "Bacterial small subunit ribosomal RNA", at positions 355 to 886 of the family's 1533-position model. The record is from RNAcentral.
UGGGGAAUAUUGGACAAUGGGCGCAAGCCUGAUCCAGCAAUGCCGCGUGUGUGAAGAAGGCCUUCGGGUUGUAAAGCACUUUUGUCAGGAGCGAAACGCUGUCGGCUAAUACCCGGCGGAACUGACGGUACCUGAGGAAUAAGCACCGGCUAACUUCGUGCCAGCAGCCGCGGUAAUACGAAGGGUGCAAGCGUUAAUCGGAAUUACUGGGCGUAAAGCGUGCGUAGGCGGUUUCUUAAGUCUGCUGUGAAAUCCCCGGGCUCAACCUGGGAAUGGCAGUGGAUACUGGGAGGCUAGAGUGUGUCAGAGGGUGGUGGAAUUCCCGGUGUAGCGGUGAAAUGCGUAGAGAUCGGGAGGAACAUCAGUGGCGAAGGCGGCCACCUGGGACAACACUGACGCUGAGGCACGAAAGCGUGGGGAGCAAACAGGAUUAGAUACCCUGGUAGUCCACGCCCUAAAGCGAUGCGAACUGGAUGUUGGUCUCAACUCGGAGAUCAGUGUCGAAGCUAACGCGUUAAGUUCGCCGCCUGGGGAGUACGGU